Long non-coding RNA from Dama dama (fallow deer), 1974 nucleotides. RefSeq lists it as uncharacterized. NCBI's taxonomy places the organism in Eukaryota, Metazoa, Chordata, Mammalia, Artiodactyla, Cervidae. The transcript is spliced from 3 exons. The record is from RefSeq and is a predicted model, not a curated record.
UCGCGCCUCAGACUGGGCAUUGUGCGGGCCUAAGGGAGCUGUGCCCGGCGGCUCGCCGGUGGUGUGGGCCAGGGUGGGGUCUAAAUCGCGGGAGUCCGACUUCCUGACUUUACAGAGGGGAAAUGGAGGUUCUGCGAGGUGGAGUGACCUGCCCUCGAGGCCAGAGCGUGACCAAGCCUGAGCUCUUAUCCAUCCAGUAGAAUUCGGGCGUCCGUGCCCCUGGGCAGCGGCUUACAUUUUUACCUCUGCGUCUGAUGGCUCCGGGACUGGGCUGUUAAGUCAGGAAUCCCAGUUGGUAAUUAUUACCUGUUAAUUACUACUAAGAUUGUCAGGUCAGGCUUAAUGGGCCUCCAUAAAGACUGGCUGGGGAUGGGAAUAUGAGGGAGGUGGGAGGGGCCCUUCACCACACUCCCAAGAGAUCUUGCGACAUCUGGGUCCGACCUAGGAACCCUGCACAGAACCCCUCCAUGGCUCUCAUCACACACUGGAUGGCGCCCAGUCCACCAGUUGGUGGAGGGCCCAUACAUUCCUUUCUUCUUUCCAGUGACACCCUCUCACCCUGUCUGAGCUUUGUCUUCCCAACUCCUUGCUGUCCUCUGGGCCUUAACAGGAGCUGGCUCCCUUCCCCCAGUGCCUACGGCUGGUCCUCAGAGAGGCCCCUCCCACUCACCUUGUUUCCAUUAUACCUGGAACCAUCCACAAUGCUAGGGCGGACCAUAAGUCCCAGCAGGGCAGGCUAUCUUGGGCCUGCUGGGUCUCCAGCUUCCUGCCUGGGGCCUAGCAUCCAAUAGUGAAAGUGAAAUCGCUCAGUCGUGUCCGACUCUUUGGGACCUCAUGGCCUGUAGCCUACCAGGCUUCUCCAUCCAUGGGAUUUUCCAGGCAAGAAUACUGGAGUGGGUUGUCAUUUAGCCAGUGUUAAAGGAGAGGACCGGUGGGUUGCUGUGGCACUUUCUGGCCUCAGUUUGUCUGACUGGCCUGUGGACAUGAACACCUGGUCUUCUGUUUCCCUUCCUCACCAGGCCGUGCCCCUAACUGGGCUGUGGAGCAAGAAGGCCUUGAGGGAGGCUGUCACCAUGAGCAAGAGGCCUGGCCUGGCUGGUGGAGAGGAAAACUGCUGAGUAAUGAAGAUCUCCCUGAUCAAUGUUGCUGCGCCCUGGCCUCCCUCUCCAGGAAUCGAGACGUCUAAGGGUUGUGGAAAAGGCUUUGCCCUUCUAGAGAGUUCUGGAGAACCUUGUGGAGUCUCUCCAUGGCAACAGGGAGGAAGCAAGCCCACCUCACCACACUUGACAGGGAUGUGGGCACUUGGGGACCUCCCACAGUCCUGCUGGCCAGAGAGGCAUAACCUGCUGGAGGUGUGUAGCAUGGAGGGAUGGGCCCCGGGGGUGCUUAUAGGGAUGGUUUUCCAAGGAACAGAGAAGGGACUGAGGGAGGAGAGAUGCAUGCCUGUAUUCCCCAAGUAUUUUUAGGCACUGAAUGCAGCCCUGAAAUAUUUCCACGGCCACUCCCAAGAGUGAGCUGGGUGACUAUUUUGGUGCCUGGUUCCAGCGGGGGCGGAGUGGGGGUGAGUCAUCCCUGGGUGGCUGGGCCCAGACCAGGAGGGGGGUCUCAGGGCAGGACCCAGGGCCUGUAAGGUGACAGCUUUCGGACCUGGGGCCAGGCAUCUGGUGUCGGCCUCCGGGGCACAGAGGACAGUAGCCUGGCCCCUCCCUGUGGCGUGGCACCAGCGCCCGGGUCCCCCCUGGCCAGUCAGUCACGCUGCCCCCCACAGCUUAUGGAGAUAAAGAGGGUCCCAGGUGAGGUUUCAGACAUUCCGCAGGUGCUCAGUGAGGCGCUUCUCCUGUGUUUUCAAGUAGGAAUGAGAGACUUCCCCAGAGGUCCAGCGGUUAAGACUCUGCGCUUCCACUGCAGGGGGCACGAGUUAAUUCCCAGUAUGAAAAAGAAAAUUUUUUUUUAAAAGCAAGUAUGGAAAAAUAA